This 2794-nucleotide long non-coding RNA is filed under the name Cavia porcellus (domestic guinea pig). Its description in RNAcentral is "lncRNA (ENSCPOG00000037347.1)". Lineage: Eukaryota; Metazoa; Chordata; Mammalia; Rodentia; Caviidae. The record is from RNAcentral.
AGUUGAAAUUAAUAUUUCCAGCAACUAUUUUUUUUUCUGUUUUGCAGGUAGGUUUGAUUUCUAUUCAAGAAUUACAGAAGGAGCUCUUGCUUAGGGAAAAAAUUCUUUCAAAAUCUUGGAAAGUUUUAACAAAUUUGAUUCAAGGAAAAGAUGCUAGGACAUCAAGUGCAGAGGAGGAUUUUCUUCUUCCUUUUUGUGGCAAAGAAGAAAAUAGUGACCAUACCAUUGAUGAAAAGUUACCAGAAAAUUUUCAGAAUUCAGAACGUCUAGUAGAGAAGAUCUGGUAUCGUGUAGUGGAUGAUAGCUUAGUUGUUGGCAUAAAGACUACAUCUUCUUUGAAGCUGUCCCCAAAUGCUGUGACUUUAUCACUGUUAAUGGAUCAAGGCUUUAGCUCCAAUGUUCAGCUUAUUAAGUGUCAAAAUAAGGUGAUUAGUUUGAAUACAGGUUCUUUACCAGCACCAUACUUAAUACCACAUGAAACAGGAUCAAAGGCAAAAAAGAUCAAGUUGAACUCUGAUAGAAAGGAAGAAGGAAGCUGUGUUUAUGAACAGCCAUCUAAGAAAGAGUGUGUUCAGAUAAUUACUGGUAUAACGUCUUUAUCACCACUUUUAGCAUCCAAUAAAUUUUGUUGCAUUCUGCUGCUGCAAAUUAGGGAAAGAGAAAAUGGUGGCUAUCCUGGUGAUCGCUGGAUUCCAUGUGGCAGAAUUUUUUUAAGUUUAGAAGAUCUUUCAAGUGGGAAAUAUCUACUGAAAUUUCCAAUGAACAAAUCAAUAGAACACACAGAAGAUCUAUGUGCAUAUCUUGCAGCAUUGCAGAAAUCUUGUUUUCAAAUCACGUCACCUGGCUAUGCCCUAAAUUCAAUGACGAUGUGGCUCAUUGAACACAUGCAAGGUGAAAUAAUCAAAGAAUUUCCAGAAUUGUGCUUUUGUAAAAGGCCUGAUAGUUUCUAUGGGACACUCUUCAGCUGGAAACAAAGAACACCAUUUGAAGGAAUUUUAACAGUCUACUCCAGGAACCAAACAGUCUUGUUCCAGUGCCUUCAUAGUCUCAUCAAAGUUCUUCCUAUAAACUGUUUCUUCAAAAAUCUAAAAAUAGGAAGUGAGGAUUUCACAGUUGAUCGUUUGGCACUGACUUUGGAGAAGGAACUGGCUACCCUUGGUUCUCUUCCUUCUGCGCUAGCUAAGGUUGCAAGCAAGUUUAUGGAGAGCUCUGAAGCAAGCAAAGGGAAGAGUAGUGCCAUGACUGCGUCAUCAGAUGAAACAGAGAAAAUCCUUCUAUAUAGAAGAGAAGUUCAAGUAGAAAAGGAAAAACUAUUAGGAGUGAACCUAAAAGUGAGUGGUUCCCUUUAUAGAGAGAUAAGUUUGAAAUUAGCUGAGAUUCAGUUGAAAUCAGACCUCAUUGCGCAAAAACUGAGCCAUUUAUAAUUAUGGUUUUUGUGUGAUUAGAUUUUUAAAAUAUAUUUUCACUGCCAUGAAGUUUUGGUUCUGCUUGAAUCCCUUCUUUAUAAAAAUAAAGGUUCAGGCUUAUUGUAGAAUCUUAUUUUAAUAAUGGAGAAAAUAAUAUUCCCUCUAUGGUAGAGGUUCUCAAGUGAGGCCAUUUUGCCUCAUGUGUGAUGUUGUGCGGGUAGCAUGUUAUAUGAAUAAUCAGAAAAAAUGACAGACAGGAAACUAACCUAUAUUAGUGAAAUUUUGGGCUCGGUAAUAUGUUGUUGUGGAGGGCUGUCUUGUGAAUAGUAGGAAACUGACCAGUGUCCCCAGCCUUCUCUACCCUCCAGGGGUGGAAAAGGCUAAUAUAGGAGGCCAGGGUUGCUAUUAAACCUCCUACGAUACACAGGACAGCCCCUUCUUCCCAUUGCAAGAUAGUAUUAUCCAGCCCAAAUGCUAGUAAUGCAGGGGGUGAGAAAGCCCUGUCUUAGAUUUUCCACUUAAGUGAAAAUGAGAAAUUUGAUCUCUUUAUUGUAUUGUCCUUAGUAAAACCUAGUAUAUCAGAAACAACUUCAGUUGGAAAAUUAAUCAAGAUUGUCUGAUUCUUGAGUUUCUGUUCAUACCAAACUUGCCUGGAAAGUUAAAUGGCAGAGUAAGACCAGUGUUUGAAACCCCACUUUUAAAUUUCAUUGGAGUUCUGCUCUAGAGUUGCAAGUCUAUUGGAAUGUAAAAAUUUGAGGGUAUUGUUCUGAAACGCACAUCUUUUCCAGAAGGCUAAGUAUACCUUGCAGGCAACUAUUAAAAAUAAAACUGAAAAUGCUUUUAAGCUAUCUGAAAUUCUAACUCUAGGCAAAGCUAAAGUAUAAAAUUCUAAUAGAAAUAGCUUAAAAGAAUAUGGUGCUCCUUAGGGACUGAGAAAUUUAAAAAUAGGUAAAAAUUCACUUCUGUAAAGAAGCUAUUUAAAAAUGAUCAAGUGAGAGUUUUCAGAGGGAUAAAAAUUCAACUUAGUAUUUUAUUUUUGAAAAAAAAGAAUUCUGGACUAAUAAAAGAGUGUUAGGGGAAGGGAAAAAAGAUGUGGACAAAAAGGAAUUUUCCUAACCAAAAGUAGUUACACAUGCCCAUAAUACUCUUAGCAUUUGGAAAGCUGAGGCAGGAAGAACACCAAAGUUUGAGGUCAGCCUGGACUACAUAGUGAGAUCUUGUCGCUAAAUAAACAAUGAAAUGCUCCUGAUGCUUUUACUGUAUAAUCCUUAAGUGACAUUAAAGUUUCAAUCACAGAAGAAGUUGAUUUUAUGAAUAGUGUCAUCUCAUGCAUGUAGCUAAGUGCUAAUUCCCUCUAUGCCUUAGAUAUCCUUGUAGCUAAUGAUCUG